RNAcentral lists this ribosomal RNA (253 nucleotides) under uncultured bacterium. Its description in RNAcentral is "partial 16S ribosomal RNA". It matches the Rfam family "Bacterial small subunit ribosomal RNA", at positions 524 to 776 of the family's 1533-position model. The record is from RNAcentral.
UACGGAGGGUGCAAGCGUUAUCCGGAUUCACUGAGUUUAAAGGGUGCGUAGGUGGGCAGGUAAGUCAGUGGUGAAAUCUCCGGGCUUAACCCGGAAACUGCCAUUGAUACUAUCAGUCUUGAAUACCGUGGAGGUAAGCGGAAUAUGUCAUGUAGCGGUGAAAUGCUUAGAUAUGACAUAGAACACCAAUUGCGAAGGCAGCUUACUACCCGAAUAUUGACACUGAGGCACGAAAGCGUGGGGAUCAAACAGG